RNAcentral lists this long non-coding RNA (1278 nucleotides) under Olea europaea subsp. europaea. The record is from RNAcentral. Lineage: Eukaryota; Viridiplantae; Streptophyta; Magnoliopsida; Lamiales; Oleaceae.
CUAUAACAAAAAAUUCAAGAAAAGUUGUAUUCCAUACUCUUAAUCAAAGCAUGUAGCAUUCCAGUCAUCACUCUCUCUCUCCUCCCCCUCUCUCUAGAAAUUAAGCAAAGAAAAAGAGAAAAGGUUAGCCGAAAAAGCUAACCAAAGCUAUCUCUAGCUAUAGCACACAGUAAAUCCAAAGAUCUUGAAUAAUUUUUCUCCCCAUUCCUACACUCUUCUUCAAUUUUUCCUCUAUGUCUGAUGAUCAAAACAAGUAUCCUUAUCAACCCUACAAUUGUUUUCAUCAUGAUCUGAAUAUGGUAUCAGGGUUUAUCGGAUCAAACCCUGUUGGAUUUGAUCCUUCUCAUAUGAGCUUCACUGACUGCUUGCACGAAGCAGUGCAUUACAACACUCUAUCAAGUGCCUUUGACAUUUCUUGUUCAUCAUCUCAUGCUGUUAAUUAUCCUGCAAAUGAUACUUGUAAUCCAAACAAAGAUAUCAGUGUUGGAGCGCCAUCUGCUGCAGGAGGGAAUAAUGAAAAUCCAUUGACGCCGAAUUCUACCGAGUUUUCGUCUUCUUCUGCGGUUGGAGGUGAAGAGGAAUCCUCAAAAAGCAAGGAAGAUCUGCAGAAAAAAGUGUUUGAAGAUGAAGAGGAAAAGUCUAAAAAAGCGUAGGUAUUUUGGGGGUUUUCUACUUGAUUUUUCUUUGCCAUUACUAUCAAGGUGGACUUUUUUGGUCCUUUGCUAAUUUUCAAUUUAUUCAUAAUUAUACUUAUUUACAGAACUGAAGAAAAAUAGUAGGAUGGUUUUAUAUUUUUCUACUUACUUUCUUCUUCUUAAAUCAAUUGUGCUUAUUUGUAUGUUCAUAUCUUGAAAUUGAAACUAUGUAUGUAUGAAACAAAACCCUAAUUUUUCAACAACUAUUACUUCAAAUCUAGUUCAUGGAAAUGAAUUUUCACACUUUAUUUAAUUAAUUAACUGCUACUUAAUUAUUUUCCAGGAACAAACCAAAACAGAAAGGGGAGAAAAAGAAACGAGAACCGCGUUUUGCCUUCAUGACAAAGAGUGAAAUCGAUAAUCUUGAAGAUGGUUAUAGAUGGAGGAAAUAUGGCCAGAAAGCAGUGAAAAAUAGCCCUUUUCCAAGGUUAUUAUAUAUCUUUAAUUUCCUGCCCAUGAUAAUUUCUUCACCUGCAGUACAAUGCGAAAUAAUUGAUUAGUAUCAAUAUAACUUAUAUUUCAAGUUUGUUAAUUAAUGAAAACUUUGAUUUUAUGCUAUGUCUUCAAAGUAUUAUUGAUUAGU